GUGCUCGCUUCAGCAGCACAUAUACUAAAACUGAAAUGAUGCAGAGAAGAUUCACAUGGCCCCUGCUCAAGGAUGACAUGCAAAUUCGUGAAGCAUUCCAUAUUUUU
Molecule: small nuclear RNA, 107 nt
Organism: Nomascus leucogenys (northern white-cheeked gibbon)
Lineage: Eukaryota; Metazoa; Chordata; Mammalia; Primates; Hylobatidae
Source: Ensembl